This 250-nucleotide ribosomal RNA is filed under the name uncultured bacterium. RNAcentral describes it as "partial 16S ribosomal RNA". It matches the Rfam family "Bacterial small subunit ribosomal RNA", at positions 524 to 773 of the family's 1533-position model. The record is from RNAcentral.
UACGGAGGGUGCAAGCAUUAAUCGGAAUUACUGGGCGUAAAGGGCGCGUAGGCGGUUGGAUAAGUCAUUUGUGAAAUUCCAGAGCUUAACUCUGGAGCUGCAGAUGAAACUAUCGAACUAGAAGUAAAGCGGAGAAAAUGGAAUUUCCCAUGUAGCGGUGAAAUGCGUGGAUAUGGGAAGGAACACCGGUGGCGAAAGCGAUUUUCUAGCUUUUACUUGACGCUGAGGCGCGAGAGCAAGGGGAGCAAAC